Molecule: ribosomal RNA, 1816 nt
Filed under: seawater metagenome
Description: bacterial LSU rRNA
Rfam family: Bacterial large subunit ribosomal RNA
Source: RNAcentral
UCUACACUCUUUCCCUACACGACGCUCUUCCGAUCUCUGAAAGCCGAUGAAGGACGUGAUAUACUGCGAUAAGUUUCGGGGAGCUGUAUGUAAGCUUUGAUCCGAAAAUUUCCGAAUGGGGAAACCCACCACUUUAUGUGGUACUUUAAACUGAAUACAUAGGUUUAAAGAGACAACCUGGAGAACUGAAACAUCUAAGUAACCAGAGGAAAAGAAAUCAAUUGAGAUUCCGUUAGUAGUGGCGAGCGAACGCGGAGUAGGCCAGUAGUUUUGUUAGAAAAAUUUGAAUAGUUUGGAAAUGCUAACCAUAGAGGGUGAUAGUCCCGUAUGAGUAAUGUCUAACAAAAUUCUUGAGUAAAGCGGGACACGAGAAAUCCUGCUCGAAUAUAGGGGGACCACCCUCUAAGCCUAAAUACUCUUCAGUGACCGAUAGUGAACUAGUACCGUGAGGGAAAGGUGAAAAGAACCCCUAUUAGGGGAGUGAAAUAGAACCUGAAACUGCAUGCCUACAAUCAGUCCGAGCCCUUUUUAGGGUGAGGGCGUACCUUUUGUAUAAUGGGUCAGUGACUUAAUUUAUUAAGCAAGCUUAAGCCAUCUAGGUGUAGGCGCAGCGAAAGCAAGUCUUAAUAGGGCGAUUAGUUUAAUGAAUUAGACCCGAAAACGAAUGAGCUUACCAUGAGCAGGUUGAAAGUUGGGUAACACCAACCGGAGGACCGAACCAGUUGACGUUGAAAAGUCUUUGGAUGACUUGUGGUAAGGGGUGAAAGGCCAACCAAAUUCGUAGAUAGCUGGUUUUCCGCGAAAACUAUUUAGGUAGUGCGUCGAAUAAAUAGAUGUUUAGAGGUAGAGCACUAAAUGGGCUAGGGGGAAGAGAUUCUUACCAAACCUAAUAAAACUCCGAAUGCUAGACAUUGUUCUUCGGCAGACAGACUGUGGGUGCUAAGGUCCAUGGUCGAGAGGGAAAGAGCCCAGACCACCAGAUAAGGUCCCAAAAUCAUGAUUAAGUGUGAAAGGAUGUGGAAAUUCCUUAACAGCCGGGAGGUUGGCUUAGAAGCAGCCAUCCUUUAAAGAUAGCGUAACAGCUCACCGGUCUAAUAGAGUUUCUGCGCCGAAGAUGUAACGGGGCUAAAAUCAUGUACCGAAUCUGUGGCUUUGCAAAGUUUUCGAACUUUGUAAGGGGUAGCGGAACGUUCUGUAAGCCUGCGAAGGGAUACCCGUGAGGGAUCCUGGAGGUAUCAGAAGUGCGAAUGCUGACAUAAGUAACGAUAAACGAAGUGAAAAACUUCGUCGCCGAAAAUCUAAGGGUUUCUAUGCAAGGUUAAUCCGCGUAGAGUUAGUCGGCACCUAAGGCGAGGGCGAAAGCCGUAGUCGAUGGAAACAAGGUUAAUAUUCCUUGACCUGAUGGUAGUGACGGAUUUCGUAAGUUGUGAGUUCUUAAUGGAUUGAACUUGCCGCGAAGAGGUCCCAAGAAAUAGCUCCAUCAUGAAGACCGUACCCGAAACCGACACAGGUAGAUUAAUAGAGUAUAUUUAGGCGCUUGAGAGAAUGAUGUUGAAGGAACUCGGCAAAAUGCUUCCGUAACUUCGGGAUAAGGAAGACCCUUUUGUAGGCAACUAUAGAAGGGUGGCACAAGCCAGGGAGAAGCGACUGUUUAUCAAAAACACAGGGCUCUGCUAACACGUAAGUGGAUGUAUAGGGUCUGACGCCUGCCCGGUGCUGGAAGGUUAAUGCGGUUGGUGCAAGCUAACUUCUGAAGCCCCAGUAAACGGCGGCCGUAACUAUAACGGUCCUAAGGUAGCGAAAUUCCUUGUCGGGU